AUGAAUGGUGAAUGUCAUUCAGCCGAUGAUCUCUAUGGAGCGGCAUCAACUGAGGACUGGGUACAAUAUGAAGAACUGAAAUCGAAGCAUGAAGAUGAUCGACCAGCCCAUUUUUUCCAACAAAAUUUGGCUUUCGAAUCAUCCUCACCUUUUGACAUUGCAAAAAUAUUCCUACCUUUUCCGUUCUCAUUUUAUCCCGAUAACGGGCAAGCCUUUCGGCAUCCCGAAUGCAUCCAUUCUUGUGCUUCCAAUGGUCUGCUUACUGAUCACGAGGUUCCGAUGUAGCUUAGUUUCAAUUGAAUUACUGCGUAAUACUCUAGUUUUAUGCAGUUAUUGCAAAAUCUAGAAAUAUGUUGUGCUGAUAGGUUUUUGACUCUGAGAAUGACUACAUUGAUCAAAAUAUUGACAAAGACCACCACCUCAACCAUCACCGCCACCAUCAUCCUCGUCCAAUAUGCUAUGUUAGUGGGCAACCUAUCCCAGUCGAUGCAAAUGGCCGUCUUGUGUUCCGUCGACAUCCUUUUUGGCGACAAAAGUACUGUCGAGCGCAUAAGAGAGAUGGGACACCUUGUUGUGGUUGCAAAAGAUUAAAGGUAGGUUCCCUUUCAAUUAGAU
This is a long non-coding RNA of Syzygium oleosum, 615 nucleotides long. RefSeq lists it as uncharacterized. The record is from RefSeq and is a predicted model, not a curated record. The transcript is spliced from 3 exons. Lineage: Eukaryota; Viridiplantae; Streptophyta; Magnoliopsida; Myrtales; Myrtaceae.